GGCGCUGUGGCACAGCCGGUUAAUGCCCUGGCCUGAAGCGCCAGCAUCCCAUAUGGGUGCUGGUUCGAGACCUGGCUGCUCCA
Molecule: transfer RNA, 83 nt
Filed under: Oryctolagus cuniculus (rabbit)
Lineage: Eukaryota; Metazoa; Chordata; Mammalia; Lagomorpha; Leporidae
Rfam family: tRNA
About the family: Transfer RNA (tRNA) molecules are approximately 80 nucleotides in length. Their secondary structure includes four short double-helical elements and three loops (D, anti-codon, and T loops). Further hydrogen bonds mediate the characteristic L-shaped molecular structure. tRNAs have two regions of fundamental functional importance: the anti-codon, which is responsible for specific mRNA codon recognition, and the 3' end, to which the tRNAs corresponding amino acid is attached (by aminoacyl-tRNA synthetases). tRNAs cope with the degeneracy of the genetic code in two manners: having more than one tRNA (with a specific anti-codon) for a particular amino acid; and 'wobble' base-pairing, i.e. permitting non-standard base-pairing at the 3rd anti-codon position.
Source: Rfam by way of RNAcentral